GGUCCCAUCGGCUAGCCAGGUUAGGCCACAGGCCUCUCAAGCCUGAAGCAGGGGUUCAAAUCCCCUUGGGACCA
This 74-nucleotide transfer RNA is filed under the name bacterium. Its description in RNAcentral is "tRNA-Glu". It matches the Rfam family "tRNA". From Rfam's summary of the family: Transfer RNA (tRNA) molecules are approximately 80 nucleotides in length. The record is from RNAcentral.